CUCAUCUUUCAAUCCUUGUGAAACGGUAGUUGGGUCAACAGCAAAGAGUUCUUGAGGUAAAUUCUGGAUACUUCUCUGUAACCUUUUGUAAACGAUAUUGCUUAUAAAUUGCACUAGAGGUAUCCACUUCGUAUCCCAUUGCCUGGUAUAAUUUCAGUUGCCACUCAAACCCCUCAUUCAUCCUGUAAUGAUAAUAGGCUUUUUCAAAGGGAAGUUGGUCAGUCUUCAUGAGAAAAGCAGUUAUUAUGGCCACACUUCGACUGACUCCUGCAUGACUGAAAAAGAGACCUUUAAAAUAAAACAGCAAAUAGCAACAAU
RNAcentral lists this long non-coding RNA (318 nucleotides) under Homo sapiens (human). Its description in RNAcentral is "long non-coding RNA NONHSAT152454". Lineage: Eukaryota; Metazoa; Chordata; Mammalia; Primates; Hominidae. The record is from RNAcentral.